Molecule: long non-coding RNA, 468 nt
Filed under: Mytilus galloprovincialis (Mediterranean mussel)
Lineage: Eukaryota; Metazoa; Mollusca; Bivalvia; Mytilida; Mytilidae
Source: RNAcentral
GCAAAACAUGUCUAGUUAAAAACAUCGCCAAAGCGUGUGAUUUGUAUAAACGCCCAAACGUGUCCAUUUUUCAACAAACCCCAAAACGCGUCCAAUCCCAAAACGUGUCCAUAUCAAGCGUUAUUUGGUUAUUGCUAUUCCAUUAACGUAUACUAAUUUUACCAUUUCAUUAAAAAUAUAGAUAAGGUACUUUUUUAAACCGGCCGAAAAAACUGGGUAAAAGUGGGGGCGUCAUUUCGGCUAUGUUGUAUGUAAAUUGUAAGCAAACAUGUUUAGUUAAACUGUACAGUUAACGGACGAAAGUGUCCCUUUCUCUGCACAUUAAAAUUUGUAUGUUCUCUCUAAAUAUUGUGAAACACCGGCAACUGGACGAUCAACAGUCAAAUAUAUACAGUACAAAUGUAAAAAAAAAACAAAAACUUGUAACCUAUGUUCUCUCUAAAUAUGUAUGAAAUACUUGCAACUGGA